GACGAACGCUGGCGGCGUGCUUAACACAUGCAAGUCGAACGGAAAGGCCCUGCUUUUGUGGGGUGCUCGAGUGGCGAACGGGUGAGUAACACGUGAGUAACCUGCCCUUGACUUUGGGAUAACUUCAGGAAACUGGGGCUAAUACCGGAUAGGAGCUCCUGCUGCAUGGUGGGGGUUGGAAAGUUUCGGCGGUUGGGGAUGGACUCGCGGCUUAUCAGCUUGUAGGUGGGGUAGUGGCUUGCCAAGGCUUUGACGGGUAGCCGGCCUGAGAGGGUGACCGGCCACAUUGGGACUGAGAUACGGCCCAGACUCCUACGGGAGGCAGCAGUGGGGAAUAUUGCACAAUGGGCGGAAGCCUGAUGCAGCAACGCCGCGUGCGGGAUGACGGCCUUCGGGUUGUAAACCGCUUUCGCCUGUGACGAAGCGUGAGUGACGGUAAUGGGUAAAGAAGCACCGGCUAACUACGUG
RNAcentral lists this ribosomal RNA (468 nucleotides) under uncultured bacterium. RNAcentral describes it as "partial 16S ribosomal RNA". It matches the Rfam family "Bacterial small subunit ribosomal RNA", at positions 28 to 507 of the family's 1533-position model. The record is from RNAcentral.